Molecule: ribosomal RNA, 398 nt
Filed under: uncultured bacterium
Lineage: Bacteria
Description: bacterial SSU rRNA
Rfam family: Bacterial small subunit ribosomal RNA
Source: RNAcentral
GACGAACGCUGGCGGCGUGCUUAACACAUGCAAGUCGAGCGGUAAGGCCCUUUCGGGGGUACACGAGCGGCGAACGGGUGAGUAACACGUGGGUGACCUGCCCUCAGCUCUGGGAUAAGCCCGGGAAACUGGGUCUAAUACUGGAUAUGACUCCAUGACGCAUGUUGUGGGGUGGAAAGCCUUGUGCGGCUGAGGAUGGGCCCGCGGCCUAUCAGCUUGUUGGUGGGGNGAUGGCCUACCAAGGCGACGACGGGUAGCCGGCCUGAGAGGGCGACCGGCCACACUGGGACUGAGACACGGCCCAGACUCCUACGGGAGGCAGCAGUGGGGAAUCUUGCGCAAUGGGCGAAAGCCUGACGCAGCGACGCCGCGUGAGGGAUGACGGCCUGGUGUAACUC